RNAcentral lists this ribosomal RNA (441 nucleotides) under uncultured bacterium. RNAcentral's name for it is "partial 16S ribosomal RNA". It matches the Rfam family "Bacterial small subunit ribosomal RNA", at positions 338 to 795 of the family's 1533-position model. The record is from RNAcentral.
CCUACGGGAGGCAGCAGUCGGGAAUAUUGCGCAAUGGAGGAAACUCUGACGCAGUGACGCCGCGUGCAGGAAGAAGGUUUUCGGAUUGUAAACUGCUUUAGACAGGGCAGAAAAAAGACAGUACCUGUAGAAUAAGCAUCGGCUAACUCCGUGCCAGCAGCCGCGGUAAUACGUAGGGGGCAAGCGUUAUCCGGAUGUACUGGGUGUAAAGGGAGCGUAGACGGCAGUGCAAGUCUGGAGUGAAAGGCGGGGGCUCAACCCCCGGACUGCUCGGGAAACUGGACGGCUGGAGUGCAGGAGAGGUAAGUGGCAUUCCUAGGGGAGCGGUGAAAUGCGUAGAUAUUAGGAGGAAAACCAGUGGCGAAGGCGGCUUACUGGACUGUAACUGACGUUGAGGCUCGAAAGCGUGGGGAGCAAACAGGAUUAGAUACCCGUGUAGUC